UGGCGGCCGUAGCGCGGUGGUCCCACCUGACCCCAUGCCGAACUCAGAAGUGAAACGCCGUAGCGCCGAUGGUAGUGUGGGGUCUCCCCAUGUGAGAGUAGGGAACUGCCA
RNAcentral lists this ribosomal RNA (111 nucleotides) under Escherichia coli. Lineage: Bacteria; Pseudomonadati; Pseudomonadota; Gammaproteobacteria; Enterobacterales; Enterobacteriaceae. The record is from RNAcentral.